RNAcentral lists this ribosomal RNA (437 nucleotides) under uncultured bacterium. RNAcentral's name for it is "partial 16S ribosomal RNA". It matches the Rfam family "Bacterial small subunit ribosomal RNA", at positions 29 to 507 of the family's 1533-position model. The record is from RNAcentral.
AGCGAACGCUGGCGGCAGGCUUAACACAUGCAAGUCGAGCGGGCAUCCUUGUGGUGUCAGCGGCAGACGGGUGAGUAACGCGUGGGAACGUGCCCUUCGGUUCGGAAUAACUCAGGGAAACUUGAGCUAAUACCGGAUACGUGCGAGAGCAGAAAGGUUUAUCUGCCGAAGGAUCGGCCCGCGUCUGAUUAGCUAGUUGGUGAGGUUACGGCUCGCCAAGGCGACGAUCAGUAGCUGGUCUGAGAGGAUGAUCAGCCACACUGGGACUGAGACACGGCCCAGACUCCUACGGGAGGCAGCAGUGGGGAAUAUUGGACAAUGGGGGCAACCCUGAUCCAGCCAUGCCGCGUGAGUGAUGACGGCCUUAGGGUUGUAAAGCUCUUUUCUCCGGGACGAUAAUGACGGUACCGGAGGAAUAAGCCCCGGCUAACUUCGUG